GCUCAAAAUACCUUCUAUUUAUUACAAUUUUAAAGAGAAAAAAAUAUGUUUGAAGUUCUCAAAUUCGUUCAUGUCUUUAUCAUAUUUCUUUCUCUAAUUGUUAUUGUAUCCUCUCAUCGUUAUGUGUUCUGCACUAGUGACGAUGAUUGUCGAACAUAUAUGUGCACUACUGACGAAUGUCAAGUUCCCAAGUGCAUUUGGUAUUGGUGUUCCUGCGUGGAUGAGUAACAAAAGUUUUAGGGGUUUAAGAAUCAUGCAAGAUUUCUAAAACGUAAAGUGAUCAAUUAAGUGAAUGACUUCUGUUGAAAUCCACUAACUUUGGUAUAUUAUUAUAUGUAUUUUAUUAGUUACUUAUUUCUGAUAUUAACUACACUACUUUUAUGGAAGUUAGUUUUGAUUUUAUUUGUAUAAAUAAUCAACUUCGUCGUUAUUAUUAUGAAGUGAAAGUAAUUGCAUCUA
Molecule: long non-coding RNA, 459 nt
Organism: Vicia villosa (hairy vetch)
Lineage: Eukaryota; Viridiplantae; Streptophyta; Magnoliopsida; Fabales; Fabaceae
Exons: 2
Source: RefSeq, a predicted model, not a curated record